Gadus macrocephalus (Pacific cod) is the source of this 3509-nucleotide long non-coding RNA. RefSeq lists it as uncharacterized. The record is from RefSeq and is a predicted model, not a curated record. The transcript has 2 exons. NCBI's taxonomy places the organism in Eukaryota, Metazoa, Chordata, Actinopteri, Gadiformes, Gadidae.
UUCAGGAAUAUCUCCGUAAAGACGGAGUCAUUGCGAAACCGCAUCGAGCUGUAGAAACGCUGUAAUAAAUAUUCAAGGCGCUGGUUCUCCACAGAAAAAAAGUGGAGCGCAUCAAGCCUGCGCGCUGUUUACAAACGAUCAGUCACGAGGAGAUACAACCUUUUCAAUUGAGCAGAAGUACUUUUUAAAGUUCAGUUAGUAAUUACAUUUAUCAAGGGGCUUCAUUUAAAGCUACAAAAAGGAUAGAAAUAAAAUAAUUAAUAAAAAAUUCAACGCAAGUCUGACGUCCCCCAGCUGGUGGGGGGGCUGAUGACGUCAUCGAUUGCGUUUCACUCCAAUAGUAUCUGUCUGCGUCCUGCCAGACGGAGGCGUAACUUGUAGUCGGAGGAGGCGUAACUUGUAGUCGGAGGCGUGUCUAGUACUUUUCUAAAUCGCGGAAGUGAUCUGUAUGUAGCAGUGGUGCGCGGGUACAUAAAUGACCGCAACUCGGACAUCAAAUAUUAGGCCUUAUAUAAAAAUAAUGCACCCGACCCGCUCAUUUAAAAAUAUGCUCUUGAUUAGCUUAAUCAUAGCCUUAGUUGAAACUGACAUCCCUGAGUCAUAUGCAUGAAAAGAAGCCUAUUACAAUUUUACAAUGACACGUAAUGGAUAUAGCAGUUUAACGUGGGGAAGCUGCUUAAAUUUAGCCUACUUAAUCCCUUUAACAAAGAGACUGCAGAUUAAUAAUUCAAAGAAUUAAAGACAGCAGAUUAAUAAUUCAAAUAAUUUUAUUCAAUACAUUAUGUUCAUGUUAUUGAUCGUAUGCUGCAUGUUUUCAAGGUCCUGCAUGAGAUAGAAAACAAUGAAUUAAAAUCCAUAUUACUGAUAGAAACAAGACAAGAACAAUGUCACUAACAGGAGGAUAGUUAUGAGAAAGCCUUCAUAUUAUAGCGUUCACAUUACAAGCCCUCAUUUUAUAUAUAUUUGCCGGUCUUCAAUACAUGGAUUUCUCAUACGUCAUCACUGUUGCACUGUGCAAACUCACGGCAGAAAGAAGCUAGCCUGUACAGUAUAGAGUAUUUUGUGAUUGUUCAGUGUGCAUCUCAAACGUGUGCAUCGAACUAACUUCACAGAGGUGGCGAAAGCUGGGGUUUCUUCCAACGUUAAAACAGUAGGCCUAAGCGUUCGAACAUUUCGUAAAAAAUGUUAAACAGUAUCACAACCACAAGUAGUCUGCCCUAGUUCUAGAGUUCAUUAAGCUUGUAAAAACAAAAAAAAUCAUUCUUGUUAAUCCACUUCUUUUUUUCUUACCGACAUGAAUAUCUGAAGAUCCGACUUCAAGGAAAAUCUCGUGUGAACUGUCGUUAACAAGGCUUUUUUUUUAUCGCGAAAAGAGAAGAUCUUGCGUGGACGGCGAUUUAGAAAAGUACAAGUUACGCCUCCUAGUACAAGUUACGCCUCCUACUACAAGUUACGCCCACUACUAGUUACGCCUCCGUCUUGCAGGACGCAGACAGACCCUACUCUUUUGCUGCGUUCGAGUAUUCUCUGCGAACCGACACGGAUCUCGGAUCUGACGCCACGCCCACACUUCAAGCGUUUUAUUAUUUUGCUCGGUCGUUGGGAGGAAAACAUGGAGGCCCGGAAAGCUGUUGUCGCGGUAGCAUUGGCAGAGGACCAGGCGCUCCCAAAUAAGUAGGCUAUAGUAGGCAGAGAUACGGACGCAGUAAGGUAUUGCAGUAAUACGAGUGAUUGAAAUUGCCAUUUAAACCACCAAAGUGGUCCAAGCACAAUGAAAACAGUUCAUACUUCAAGUCGCAAUGGGCGCAGACAUCUUGAAUUCUGUCUCGGAAUUUUGCUAGGUCACCACUGAGUUAAAGGCCCACUAUGCAACUUUUUUAGCCAAAAUUACAUUAAGUAUGCAGGUUGAGAGUUAUGCUGAUGGUUCUGCAUCCAUUUCUGGGUCGAUUGGUGGGUGUGUCAUUUACCCAUGUCGCCUCUCCAGUGAAAAAGCGCAUAUGCAACUUGAUCUGCUCGGACCGGGACAAUCCGGAUGUGACGCAACGGAAGUAUCCUCGAAAAUGUAGUCAGAUUGUAGUUUCGAAAAUGCUUUACGGCACAGACACACACCCAAACAUGGCACCGGCUAGAUAUAAACAGCCAGUUGCGAGGCAAUUGUUGCAUUCAUCAUGGAUCAAUCGACUAAUGGUACGGCCACACCAACCGCGUACGCGCCUAACCUGACGCUUGAUCAUUGUGUGUCACAAAAAUGGUUCAACGCGCCCAACGCGCCUGUGGCUGCGCUAGAGUCCGAGGUAGGAAACCCAAACGCCGCCGUGUUUGGGUGCAUGAUAGAGUUUAGAUCGGGUUAGAUUAAAUAAUCUCGGAUAUAAAUAACGAUCUCAUCUCAUCGUCAUCCGUUUAUCCGGGGUCGGGUCGCGGGGGGAGCAGCUCAAGCAGGGGGCUCCAGACUUCUCUUUCCCGGGCCACAUUGACCAGCUCUGACGGGGGGAUCCCGAGGCAUUCCCAGGCCAGUGUUGAGAUAUAAUCUCUCCACCUAGUCCUGGGUCUUCCCCGAGGUCUCCUCCCCACUGGAUGUGCCUGAAACGAACGCAAUACCGCCCCCGCUGCUCCGAUUCUCCGGCUAAUCUCACGCUCCAUAGUCUCCUCACUCGCGAACAAGACCCCGAGGUACUUGAACUCCUUCACUUGGGCUAAGGACUCAUAAAUAACGAUAAUCGGGUUAAAUAACUUCACAUGGUGUGUCUGGUGUGUUUCCAGCAUUCGUAGUGUUGAUCAGCAGAGAAAUAGUCCGCCAAGACGUUGAGGUUGCUUAGCAACCAGAGACUGUCCAUGCAAGUGAACGGAGCGUUCACUCUUCGUCAUAACUAUCAAACCAAACAUCCUUCACAUUCACCGAGCGAACAUUAUGAAAGUAAAAUGCACAUUUCUCGCUAAAAAUGUUUCCAUAAACGCAUUUAAUGGCAUAACUAUGUUACUAUUUCCACCCAGAAUAAAGAAAGAUGUCGGCCGUAUGCUUCUGUGCAAGGGUCACUACUCUCUGCCAGUGACUAACGAAUUGCUUUACGGCACAGACCCCCAAACACGGAACCGGCUCGAUAUAAACACAAGUCACUAAGGGAUUGUUAUAUUCAUCAUAGAUCAGCCGACUAAAAAGAGACAGAGAAACCCAAUGUCGGAGGAACAGAAGAAGAGAAAAGGGAGACUGACCGGCAGAGAGGCCAGACACGAGUAAACGUUGGGCAAGCUUUUCAGGAAUAGCGUGAACUGAAAGAAAAAGAAGACUGCAAAUCAGACGCCGACUCGGCCGUGUUGCUUUUGAAAUUGAAAGUACCCUUGGGUGGCCUUUGUCUUCGUGGUAUUCUUGAUGUUGAUAGUCUCUGUACAAAUGUGUUUGCUCAACCAUUUUGUUGUGAGCCCUGUAAAAAUUGUUUUCUCGACCGUUUUGUUGUGAGCCCUGUAUGUUUCUAGCUUGCUUGGUUGCAACCAUAUAAACACCUUUGUUUCCA